GGACUCGUGGCUCAACUGGAUAGAGCACCGGUCUACGGAACCGGGGGUUAGAGGUUCGAAUCCUCUCGAGUCCGCCA
Molecule: transfer RNA, 77 nt
Filed under: Deltaproteobacteria bacterium
Lineage: Bacteria; Pseudomonadati; Myxococcota; Myxococcia
Description: tRNA-Arg
Rfam family: tRNA
About the family: Transfer RNA (tRNA) molecules are approximately 80 nucleotides in length.
Source: RNAcentral